Long non-coding RNA from Amphiprion ocellaris (clown anemonefish), 1500 nucleotides. RefSeq lists it as uncharacterized. NCBI's taxonomy places the organism in Eukaryota, Metazoa, Chordata, Actinopteri, Pomacentridae. The transcript is spliced from 2 exons. The record is from RefSeq and is a predicted model, not a curated record.
GCGCGAGCUCGCCAGGUGCAGGCGGUCGUCGCAAUGGCCGUCACAUUCACGGACGCUGAACACUACUUGUUGUGUCUUUUUCACAGCGGCCGUUUGGAGACACGACAGACAUGUUUACUAGAAGAAGACCUACACCUGAGCAGAAUGGAUUUACCGAGGCCACCAAAGGUUUUUGUGCGGUACUUCACCUCGGGCAACGACAACACCUGUGUCGGGCUAGCAUCGAGUGGAACAAGCUAAUGAGGUAGUCAUGUUUGCUUUUUAAUGGAGUACGUGCACAUGGAAUAGUUUUAGCAACUUCACAAAGGCAGCUACGAAGCUUAUGGCCACUGGGCAUCACCUUUUUCAUUUGAAGUGAGCGCAGGCUGGAUUUUGAGCUUAAUAAGCAAGAAAACGAAGGAUUAAAAAACAGAAGUUCCAUCAUCUUCUGAAACGUCGUAUUGAUUCACCUUUAUGGGACCGCAGGGGAAAUAAAGUAUUUCUGUGGGACAUGGAAAUUACGAAGGGACAGUGUCUGAAUGGAGGGAAUUACUUGGAAUUACUAACUUUUCUACCUGACUACAAUGUUGACGUCACUGUGCCACCGCCGCAGUUUUUACUGGGAAGUCGGGAUCCCAUACAUGCUGUUGCUAAGAUGCUGAAUGAUGCCGCAGAGAAGGAGGUCAAAGACACUAACGUCAUUGCAUUUUCAAAGCAGAUAACGUUUGGUGACAUGCAGACAGUGGAAGGCCAAACGCAGCCAGAGGAGGACCAGCACUGCGGCUGUAUUUCGUUUACAAGUGACUGUUCCUAUUCCAGUGGUUUCCAGCAAGAUUUCAGCUCCGUUGAUGAUGUCUGGGCAAAACCAUGGGACAUCAGGUAACUUUUCGUCAGGAGAAGGAUCAGCAGAGAGUUUCAUUUGGAAGGAAUGUCCCAGUAGCCCCUAGUAAUUGUAAAUGCACUGCUGACCAUUCAGUAAUAAACCCAGCAGUGGUCCCUGCAGCUAGCUCCAUAUCCAUUUUCUAUGCACAUUCUCAUCCCUGUUGUACUUUUCUCCAGUGGGAGCAGGCAGCUUAUUAUAUGGUGGUUUUCUUUAACCUCUGGUACGUCUUAAUAAAUAGACAUUACAGUGUAUCGCGACAUUGCCAUAAUACCAGCACAUCACAGAAGCCCACCGGCCACACUUAUUAAUGUGGCACCAAAAGACACUGUAAAAAAAACAUUUUGGAUGCACCGAAAUGAUGUGCCUGUGCACGUAAGUGACAAUGGUCAGUGUACCAGGUAAAAGACUUUUGGUGCCACACCUAGUGGCAGCCUGUUGCAGCAGCUCUCAUCGUGAGCAUUUUUCUCUCUUUUUCUUUAAUUAAUAAAUAAUGUUGUUUAUAUUACAGCUAACCAUUUCAUGAAGCGUAUUGAGAGUGUAUCAAAUUUUAGUUAAAUUUCAUAGUGUAUAUAAUUCAUUUGUUUCAAUACAGUUGUAAUUUCUGAAGCUUUGGAUGUCAUUAAAAAUCUGUGAUUCGA